RNAcentral lists this ribosomal RNA (459 nucleotides) under uncultured bacterium. RNAcentral describes it as "partial 16S ribosomal RNA". It matches the Rfam family "Bacterial small subunit ribosomal RNA", at positions 338 to 795 of the family's 1533-position model. The record is from RNAcentral.
CCUACGGGAGGCAGCAGUGAGGAAUCUUGGUCAAUGGCCGGAAGGCUGAACCAGCCAAGCCGCGUGAGGGAGGAAGGCGCAGAGCGUCGCAGACCUCUUUUGCCGGGGGACAAAAGGCCGGACGGGUCCGGUUCUGAGGGUACCCGGAGAAAAAGCAUCGGCAAACUCCGUGCCAGCCGCCGGGGUAAUACGGAGGAUGCGAGCGUUAUCCGGCUUCAUUGGGUUAAAGGGAUGCGCAGGCGGGCCUUUAAGCCGGCGGUGAAAUCGCGGGGCUCAACCCCGCCGAGCCGUCGAAACUGGGGGCCUUGAGGGCGGCGGAGGCAUGCGGAAUGCGCGGUGUAGCGGUGAAAUGCAUAGAUAUCGCGCAGAACCCCGAUGGCGAAGGCGGCGUGCCGUGCCGCCACUGACGCUGAGGCACGAAAGCGCGGGGAUCGAACAGGAUUAGAUACCCGUGUAGUC